AUUGAACGCUGGCGGCAGGCCUAACACAUGCAAGUCGAACGGUAACAGGAAGACGCUUGCUUCUUUGCUGACGAGUGGCGGACGGGUGAGUAAUGUCUGGGAAACUGCCUGAUGGAGGGGGAUAACUACUGGAAACGGUAGCUAAUACCGCAUAACGUCGCAAGACCAAAGAGGGGGACCUUCGGGCCUCUUGCCAUCGGAUGUGCCCAGAUGGGAUUAGCUAGUAGGUGGGGUAACGGCUCACCUAGGCGACGAUCCCUAGCUGGUCUGAGAGCAUGACCAGCCACACUGGAACUGAGACACGGUCCAGACUCCUACGGGAGGCAGCAGUGGGGAAUAUUGCACAAUGGGCGCAAGCCUGAUGCAGCCAUGCCGCGUGUAUGAAGAAGGCCUUCGGGUUGUAAAGUACUUUCAGCGGGGAGGAAGGGAGUAAAGUUAAUACCUUUGCUCAUUGACGUUACCCGCAGAAGAAGCACCGGCUAACUCCGUG
RNAcentral lists this ribosomal RNA (490 nucleotides) under uncultured bacterium. RNAcentral's name for it is "partial 16S ribosomal RNA". It matches the Rfam family "Bacterial small subunit ribosomal RNA", at positions 30 to 507 of the family's 1533-position model. The record is from RNAcentral.